Limulus polyphemus (Atlantic horseshoe crab) is the source of this 235-nucleotide long non-coding RNA. RefSeq lists it as uncharacterized. The transcript is spliced from 3 exons. Lineage: Eukaryota; Metazoa; Arthropoda; Merostomata; Xiphosura; Limulidae. The record is from RefSeq and is a predicted model, not a curated record.
AAAAUGAUGGCAGAAGGAACUUGAAUCGGAACCCAAACAUUUCUACUCUGGUGGAUGUCACCAUGUGCUACAGUAGUUGCUGCAAUUCCCAAGAAGUGUGUUCAGUAUGGCCUUCGCUUCGAUUUCUUCAAAGGUGCCAGGAAGGUUUGACGUGUAUGCUGGUAUUCGCCAUUAUCGCAGCCGUCCUUGGAAUGUUUCAGUUUGGAUACAACACUGGAGUCAUCAAUGUCCCACA